AGGUUUGCAGUUCUGCGGGCUGCUGGCUGGCGCGCCUCUGCUGACCUGGCGACUGCGCAGCCGGUCGGAGGACUGACACUGUGACCGUGUUCCCUGAGGAGCGCGGCCAGUACGCCCGGGCGUCCGGACGCGGAGCAACCCAUCAGCUUAGCCAGCCCCGGUCUCCCCCGGCGGCACCACGCUGCCCCUCCGCGGCGACGGGUCGGCAGGUGACACCCUUGCCCUCUGGCGCCUCAGCGGCGUGCUGGCAGCCGGCGGCGGGGAUUAGUGGGAUGUUACCUAACCCGGCAACCGGCGGCCGCGGGCGGGAGAGCCGGAGCCGGCGCCCAGGGGCGCGGGCGCUGCCUUCUCCGUCUGCGUCUCCGUCUCCGUGCGCCCGCGUGCCCCAGCGGCGUCCGCUCCUCCAGCCCGGGUCCCAGAGACCCCUCGGCCUCAGACUCGCUUGAAGCUGAAACUCCCCCACAUUCUUCAUGAACUGCGGGUGCGGAGACACGUGCCGUCGGGCAGAGUCUGAGGAAAUCGCUCCCACGCGGGGAGACAGCAAACCUCAGUGUGAGAGGAAAAGCGGACACUGAGACCCCGGAGACACGGACCCCGAGCCUGGUUCCUCCACCUUAGCGAGCGCGGCAUCAGCCACCCAGCGAUGCCGUCUAUCGCAGGCGGCCGCCCGGCCGGUGCGGGCAAGAAACUCCCGACCACCCCACCUGCAGCCCAAGGCCGUGCUUCCCUCUCCCUUCCACCACAGCGCCCUGCUCGUUACAUCCUCGGCGAGGAGGCUUCAAACAUCCCCUGGGAGGCGGCCCUGGAGCCCCCGUGCGGGGCCCAGAAGGAGGCCGGCCCUCAUGGAGCGGAGCCUCAGCCCCUGUCUCCCCUGACGCGCCCCUGCCGUCUCAGACCUUUCCGCGGUCCUGGUCCUUCCGUGCGGUCUGAACGGCCAGAGAGAGCGCUCCCUCCGCUGGGAAACCUCACCACAUGAUGCCCAGGGAGCCAGGCCGAGUCUCAGCCGCUCCGUGCCGACGGGGCCAGCCUCCAGGCUCUCGUGAGCGUGUGCGUGCGCCGCGGUGCGAACGACACGCCGAGAAAACUGUUCGAAUAGUCUGUGACCUGUACGUGCUCCAAAAACGGGGAGACGGAAUUAGUGACAAAACCACUGAUCCCCAGGAGACAGAGGCCUUGGCUUUCCGGCUGCUCAGAGGUUUGGACAGCAGGGAAGGAGAGGGGCCAGCUUCUGCGCUGUGGCUGCUGGCGAUCGGCAUUCACCCUGGACUGCAUGGCCCCCCCCCAGCUGUGCGGAGUGGGGGGCACCCCCGCCGGCCCCUGCCAUGGGCUGGUGUUGUAACGAUCAUGGUCUGCACAGCGCUUAACGCCAUCUUAAGAGUGCAGUUCCGCUGAGAGCACGGGAGGAUUGGCCUUAGAAAAGCUACCGGUGUGUUUGCUUGUGCUGUCGAUAGAAGCUACCCCCUUAGCCUCUGGGAUGUUGCAAUGCGUGAUCUGCCCCUGGAUGACGCUCUGAGUCUUUUCCGCCAAUUUCGUGUACGUUGCAUAGCCAGAAAGAAGGCAGGCUCUGCUGCCACUCCUGCGGAUGAUACAAUGUAUCACCAGAGCUGCUACAGUCGCAGGGGCUGCGACUCCUGGGUGGUUCCCUGCGGCCAAGCAAGCGCUUAAAACCCAGUGGGAGGUCCUGCAUCAGGACCUUUUAGCGUCCGAAUGAUGGGCGCCCCUUUUACGUACACUUUGUUUUCAGUCUUUUUCUUUGAAUACAAUGUGUGAGGACAACAGGAAGCGAGAUUUGGACGCCAGGUCCGUCGCUGCGGGAGCCUGGGGCAGUGGCUGGCUGGGGACCUCAGGCCCCCGCCUGGACAAUGAGGAGCUCCGAGACCCCCCCCUACUCCCCCCCUGCCCCCCGCUGUAGAAACUGCCUGGCGAACAGGACAGGCAGACAAGAAAAAAAUA
This is a long non-coding RNA of Phyllostomus hastatus (greater spear-nosed bat), 1953 nucleotides long. RefSeq lists it as uncharacterized. The record is from RefSeq and is a predicted model, not a curated record. The transcript is spliced from 3 exons. NCBI's taxonomy places the organism in Eukaryota, Metazoa, Chordata, Mammalia, Chiroptera, Phyllostomidae.